Molecule: long non-coding RNA, 6004 nt
Filed under: Panax ginseng (ginseng)
Lineage: Eukaryota; Viridiplantae; Streptophyta; Magnoliopsida; Apiales; Araliaceae
Description: long non-coding RNA (PGIN_LNC012693)
Source: RNAcentral
UUGCAAUUUGGAUUGGGAACCUACUUUCCCUUGGGGGAAACGCAUUUAAUUUUCCUGCUUUGUGAUAUCAAGAGGCUGGUUCAGGCUGCAGAGAGGGAGUUAAAAAUAUUACCAACAUGGGAAUUCAUUUACUAAGUUUUAAAAACUCAAAACCAAGGUGUAAGGAAAAGGGUAAAAAGGACAAAUGGGACUCUCACAGUAUUAGUAUUUGGAGCCAAUCAAGUCCCUGAAUACAGCUCAAUCCAAUCAACCUAACAUAACAUAGCCAGCCAUCAAAUUAACAUAAAUUUUCUUUCUAAUCCAAGAACGGAUAAUGUGAUUCCCGGUUUAAUAAGUCAAGCUAAUCAAUCAUAGUCAUUACUCAUUAGGAGCCACAUGAAAGUGAGAGGAAUUCAGUAUUCGGAUGAAUUCAAUUCGAUACAUCAGAAAGGAAAGAACCAAUAAAAAAUAAAUUUAAAAAUUUCUCUACAAAAAUAGUUGUCAAGUAAUAGACUUAAUUCAAAGUUCAAAGCAUUUUUUAAGCAAGUGUAAUUAAAUAGAAUAUUAGAUAUAAAUAUAAUAUUAAUUUACUACUAUUGGGUAUAAGAACCCUAUGACAAUGGAAUAUAAUAAAAAAUAACAAAUGGAUUACAAUGAAAUAGAAAUAUUUUUUCUUCCAACCGCUCAUUUUCCAUUCUUUACUUCUUUCUUUUUCUUGUUUUUAACCUAAUCAAUGGUCUUGAGUUUUCAUUCCUAGACCCUAAUUUUAGAAGUCUUUGUAUUUUUCUUCUCAUUUGAAUCACCCAAUCUUUGUGUUUUUCACCCAAUCAAUGAAGCCUCUUUAUGUUCUUUCUUUAUAUUCUUUUGAACUCAAACUCCAUUAACAAACCUAUAUCAAAACUGUAGCACUCUUCUACAAACAAUUCUAGACAAACCAUAGGUGACAAAAUUUGAUAUCAUUAAAGGCAGGAAAAGCAAUAUUGAAGACCCAAAGAUGCUUGCGAAUGUGAAAGAUGGAAAACAUCAUACUCCUUUUGAUUAUACCCUUCCUCCGCCACCUCCAUUAGGUACUAACAGUUUUUGUAGUUUGGGCUCUCAUUUCUCAAGUCUAAUAAUUUUUUCUUCUUUAAGUCUUCUUUAUGAAUAGGAAAAGCAGAUGUUUCUUAAUUCUACCAUGUUUCCUCUAAAAACCAUCAGUUUAAUAAUUAAAUGAUGAUAUUUUUCGGACAGCCUGCUACAACUGUUAGGGACUAAUUUCAAUGCAUAUAUGAAAGACUUUUAUUUGGGUUUGGUUGGGCCUGUAUUGGAAACUUAAAUAAACAAAAAAGCACUUGCUUGAACAAUAACUUGACAUACUGUUGUUGGAAGGAAGGUUGAUACUGUGAAGUGGGUUUAUUAGGGUUGAAAAGAGUAGCUUGAUAAGGUAGGCAUAGUAACUAUAUAAGGAUAAAGAAGAGAGGAAAAAAAUUCAGGGAUUGCACCUAGUAAAAUUGGAUGGGCUUUGAAGCUGUUUAAAAUAAAACUCUCGUUGAAUUUAAACAUUAUAUUAUUGAAAUGUUUCUUCAAAAAUCAAUUUGAAGAUUACCAGAGCUUGAACUCUAAUUAGUUUUUUACUGCUUUAAUAGCCUUAACAAAAAUGUUGGCCUUACAACCUAAAUGCUUUUUUGUGACCUUAUUCAUUUUACAUAAUUGCAAUUUUUUCCUCUUUUCCUCUUUUAUUGUAUUUAAUCCUUUCCCUAUUACUAUGUUCAAAAUUGUCCAAAUUCUACAAAUUUAUAUUUUCUAUAAACUCUUCUUCUUUGUACUUUUGUUUCACCUUUACAUUUAUUUGGGAAAUUUUUAUUAUGAUGCUAGAAGAACUAAAACCCUAAAAUACAGAUAGCUAUGGAAAACUACUAUGUGGUAUGGUAGAAGUGUGGUUCCACCAUUCCUUUCUCGUGCUUUUUCUUUUUCUUUAGAAUGAAAGGAAUCAUAAGCGACUUCGAAGACUAACAAAUGACAGAGAGGGUUCAAUUAUUGAGCAUUAAUUAAGUGCAAGUAAUACAAUAUUAAUAAAACGCAUAUAAAGAGCUUUACCCAGUCAUGUGAGAGGCUUUGUUUCUCUGUUCUGCUUUUCAAAUUUAUCUCUAUUACUAAAAUCAGUCAUAAGGGUAUCAUGUAUAUUUGUAGACUUUUUUAGAAAUGGGACUGGACUCCCAUUUUGGAAAAGUGAUUAGAAAUGGGAAUUUGUGAAUCACUUUGUAAAUGUUUUCUUUUUCAUAAAAGUUAGUUUGUUUUUGUUUUUUGUUUUUCUUUUCUUGGUCACCCGGCGCCCAAUAUUUUUAUAUUUAGUUAUUAUGUGUAAGUUUUUGAACUCUUUUUGUCCCAUAGGAGCUGCACAGAAGGCGUUUGCAACUAAAAGCAAAACCAAAGACUAAAAAGACAUCAGAAGGUUUGUUGACUAAUUUAUUGUAAAUUGAUUUUCGCACGAUGUUUUGUAUAAGCUAUUGAACAUCGUAGGGAUGGUUGACGGGUCUGGAAAAUCUCGAGGGCAAGUACAAAUGAAGGUGGAAGUGAAGUAGUUGAGGAUUUUAGUGUUUACAUCUCAACAUGCAGCAAUAUGAGGGAUGACUCCCUGCAGCAAAAUAAUAUACCAAAAGAGAUGGCAUUAAAAAAGCAGCAGAAGCUACACUGGGGUAACAAUUUCCUUUAAAUUAUUGACAACUUAACUUUUUAAACUAUAAACCUCGCAAUAAAAGUAGUUUAUUAAUGUUUCGAUUGUCUUAUUUUCUCGCUUCAAAUUAAUCAUAUUCUAGCGUUUGGUUUUAUAAUUCCACAAAGGAAAGAUGGGAGAGGAAAUCCAACAUGUAACAUGUAUCUCCUCUUAAGUGGUAGUAAUGCAGCUUUAAUUGGCAGUCACUUUUCGGGCACAUUGAAACUCACUUCUAAAGACUUUUUAGUCAGGACUAAAGUUUCAAGCUUUCGUUUGUACUUUUUCUCAAACUGUACAAAUUAAACCAAGAAUACUAAUAACCUAGAUCACAAAUCAAAUAAGUAACACAAUGUAUUUGCAGAAACAUUUUCAAAAAGAUACAAAGUAAUAUUUACCCCAUAUCAUCAGCCAGAGGCCCAGGAUGCAUCCAUAUUUAUUCGCAGCACUACAUAAACCUGAAAUGCAUUCAAAAAGUUAAAUUGCAGUUCCUCAGUAUGUGAAUAAAGCACUAUCAGGCCUAAAGGUACCCAAAACACUACAUCAGAUAACAGGACCGACUUAACUGUCAUUCAUUGUUCAAACUGUAAUAAAUCUUUUAAACAUGACUGACUUAACUUUUAUUCAUAGUUCAAACUGUAAUAAAUCCUUCACUUGAAAAAUGAAGAAGAAUAUAAAAAAAAACAAUAAGUUGCGAACCAAAUCCAUUCACUCAUUUUACUUGAAAAAAAAGUAAUACCUCAAAAAAUUAAAAGAGCAGAACAAUCUAAAACCUUCAACUUUCAAUAGGAACCCCUAAAACAAAGCACACAGUGGUUAAGAAAUCUUGAAUCUGACCCUCUCCCAACCCAACCUGCCUAUUUACUACUGGCAUAAAGUUAAAAUUAGAUUAUCAUUAAGAAUGGAGUAGGAGGGGCGGUUGAUGAAAAUUUGAAAACAGUUGAUAUUUGAGUUAUGUGAAUUCUGCAGGAUUGUGGAUGCUGCUGAAACAUGAAGAAGGUUAGGAAGAUGAAGACUUGGAAACUUAGCCAUGAAGACUUUCACAUUAGCCAUAGUUACAUAGUCACAAAUGGGUUAGAAACUUGAAAACUUAUAAUAUACCCAAUGUUCUAUAGCCUAAGCCUUCAGACAUGGUUGUCUUACAACCAGGUAUCAAAUUAUCAGUAAUUUUUCAGACUUUUCGUUGCUUAUAAUUUUAGUUUUUAGUUACAUUGGCAUGAUUUUACUUAACAUACCUAAUAUUAAAAAUGAAAAGUUACUUAACAUACCUAAUUAAAAAUGAAAACAACUUAUAUAUAAUACAUACAUACAUUGACGACUCAAAUAUAGGAGUUAUAAACUUUAGAUAUAAACUUUAGAUAAUGGGUUGACUGAUUCCCAGAUUCUUUUUGUAUCAUCAUCUAGAUAAAGUAUCUGAAUUGCGUUUGCACAUGCUUGAAACUUUCCAUGUUCAUCCUGCACUUUGAUAUUGGAAGACUUCUGGAAUGCAAUAAAAAUUAUUUUAAUUUGCUAGUCAAACAUACAUAAGACCUAGUUGUUAUUGAUGCAAGAAAAAUCUACUACAACUAACAACCGCGGUGCGAUGCAUUGAAAUAAAAAUACUUUUAAAUUAAUUAUAAAAAUAUUUUAAUACCCUGUAAAAUAGUUGUAAAAGAUGCAGGUCUACACCACACAUUUUGGUAUAUAUUAUGUAACCAUGCUACUUCUGAAAUUACUUUCGUAAAAAUUUCUAAUCUAAAAAUAUUUUAUCUGAUCAUACUACAGUGCACCGCUCCGUCAAACAGACACUUAGCAAUAUAAGUAGUAGAACGGUUAACACUUCAUAUGAGAUAUGAGUGUGUAUUAAUUAACUUAAUUGAAUUUCUUUUAUAGUUCUUUCUAGGAACCAGUAUCACCAAUUUCUUUUAUAGUUCUUUUCUUAAUAGCUACUCCACGCACCAACACCAUUAAGUUUGUGUUCCACACCAUUGAGUUUGUGUUCCACACCAUUUUGUAUGUGUGCCACACCAAUACUUGGACACUUGGUGCAGAACGUUUAACCCAUUGAGUUUGUGUGCCACUAUUGAAUCCAAUUAGUGCAGAAAGUUUAACACAUUGAGUUUGUGUUAAUAUAAUUAUGUAUUUUUUUUGGGUGAGAUUUUCAGUUAGUUUAUGUAAUUAAAGUCUAUAAUAUAUCCAAGUCUCUUGGAUUAUAUUCUUUUUAUUCGGAAAAACCGAAUUAACUUCUAUUGGCAUAACAUUAUGAUGGACUAAAAACACUUUAAAUUCAAAAACUAUGUUUGAGAGUGAUAUGUGACAUAACCAAAGUACUAUCAAUAUCUUAUCUAAAUGAGGUGCUUUAAAAAUUAUUUAUCAAAUAAUAUAUUUUACUUUUGAAUAAAUUAAACCACAGUCUGAUAAUUGCUCAAAUAAUUAUGCAGUCAAGUGCAAAAAAUAAUUUGGGGCAGGGGCAGUGAGAGCUUGUUCGCUGAUUUUGCUCAGAGCUUAAGAAAAUUGUUCUAGUUAGGGGAAGUGUUUGCCAGAUCUUCCGGAGAACCAACCCAUUGUGUCCUCAUUGUAAAAAAUAAUAAAGGAAAAAUAGUCUGUAUGAAAGCAAAAAAACUCAAUAAUUGGAAAUGUUGAAUUAGUUUGUUUUACAAUUUUGAAAAAACUUAAAUUUCUAGUAAUAUAUACAACACAGUAAAUGUGUUAAAAGUUUGCAUCUUGGGUUUGAUUUAUUUACCUAGCUAGCACGGUUCAUAAUUUUAAUGAAACAUUAAUGCAAAGGGCCAAACAAACAAAUACAGAAUUACGGCCGGACAAGUAAGCCAAAAAGAAGAGGUAGGCACAAAAUCCCAAAUACAUCCAUGAUGUGGGAACAACAACCCAAAAACUUCCAUGAUGUGGGUUUCUCUGUUAUUGGGGUUUCUAAAACCCCAAGAAAUUCUCAAACAUCAAUGCUCAAUAUUGAACCCUCUGUUCUUCAAAUACCCACUAAAAUACCUCAAAAUUAAGACUAUUCCAAAAGUUUUGUAGUAUAAUAUUCGAAAGAAAAAACAAAAGGCUACCUUGGGGGAAUUAGGCGGAAAGAUAGAUGCAGAAGAGGAGGGGUCCGUAAGAUCUGAAGGCGCUUUCCUUGAGCUGAAACUUCCAAGCCUUGUGAUUUAUGCUUUGGAUCGUAUAUUAGGGGCUGAGUAUGAGAUUUAGGGUUGGGAGGGAUGGAGUUAUUUGGGGGAAUGAGAACAGAGAGCUGAGAGGGGAGUUGAGAGGGAUGGAGUUAUUUGGGGGGGAAUGAGAACAGAGAGAGAGACAGAGGGUUUGAAAUUUGAACAAGAGAGCUGCUGACGUACAACAUUG